CGGGGCGUAGCGCAGCUGGCUAGCGCACUUGCUUUGGGAGCAAGGGGUCGACGGUUCAAGUCCGUCCGCCCCG
Molecule: transfer RNA, 73 nt
Filed under: Candidatus Omnitrophota bacterium
Lineage: Bacteria; Pseudomonadati; Candidatus Omnitrophota
Description: tRNA-Pro
Rfam family: tRNA
About the family: Transfer RNA (tRNA) molecules are approximately 80 nucleotides in length. Their secondary structure includes four short double-helical elements and three loops (D, anti-codon, and T loops).
Source: RNAcentral